Molecule: ribosomal RNA, 468 nt
Filed under: uncultured bacterium
Lineage: Bacteria
Description: partial 16S ribosomal RNA
Rfam family: Bacterial small subunit ribosomal RNA
Source: RNAcentral
GACGAACGCUGGCGGCGUGCUUAACACAUGCAAGUCGAACGGAAAGGCCCUGCUUUUGUGGGGUGCUCGAGUGGCGAACGGGUGAGUAACACGUGAGUAACCUGCCCUUGACUUUGGGAUAACUUCAGGAAACUGGGGCUAAUACCGGAUAGGAGCUCCUGCUGCAUGGUGGGGGUUGGAAAGUUUCGGCGGUUGGGGAUGGACUCGCGGCUUAUCAGCUUGUUGGUGGGGUAGUGGCUUACCAAGGCUUUGACGGGUAGCCGGCCUGAGAGGGUGACCGGGCACAAUGGGAAUGAGGUAACGGCCAGGAUCCCAACGGGGGGAAGCGGGGGGAAUUAUGGAACAAGGGGCGGAAGCCUGAGGAGGAAAGGCGGGGGCGGGAAUGACGGCCUUCGGGUUGAAAACCGCUUUCGCCGGUGACAAGGCGGGGGGGACGGAAAUGGGAAAGGAGGCACCGGCAAAUUACGG